Molecule: RNA transcript, 952 nt
Organism: Drosophila ananassae
Lineage: Eukaryota; Metazoa; Arthropoda; Insecta; Diptera; Drosophilidae
Exons: 2
Source: RefSeq, a predicted model, not a curated record
AUGGUCCAGACGACCCCUUUUGUUGGCCAAAAUUCAAAUUUUAAAAGUUAAAAUAUCGAAGUCAUUUUAAUCGCAUUUUAUUCGGAGAAGACCGACUAUCAAUGCUGCAUACUAAAAAUUUUUAUAGAUGGCGCCACAUUCACGAAAUCGGAACUUAAACUCAGCUGGUCAUACUGAAAAAAGUUAGUAAAAGUGAAAAAAAAGAGUCUUUUUCAACAUCACAUUGCGCAAAAAAUACAACAAUUUUACCAAUCUUUAGACAUGAAUAAGAUUCAGUGGGGUUUGUACUACGUGUUGUGUAUAAUGAAAUGUUAUAUAUUGUUGUGGUGUCUUCGUAGUUAUAUGUUAAAGUGAAUCGUCUGAACUGUGAAAAUUGUGUAGAAAUCUCGUUUUUAAAAAGCUGUAGAAAGUGAGUCCAGCCUAGUCCAACCUUGAAACCUUUUCUCAUAACCUAAAAUUCGACAACUCAGAAUUGUUUGAAAUAUGGAAGUCUGUGAAGACCCAAGAACAAAAGUACAAAGCAAUUCUUGAUUUUUUUAAAUCUAAAACUAGUGGCGAAAUAUUUGAGAAAAAAAUGCAAGCUUUUGAGGAUGCCAGUAAGAAAAUAUGCUACCGUUUAACGGUAAAAUGGAAGAAUUGCAGAUCGAAUGCAAAGCUAUUUCAAAGGAGACAUUCCGAUUGGCUCUGUUCACAAACUUGUAUUCCGGUUGGAAGGAGAAAACAUUCAAUAGGACGCCCUGUACUAGACUACUUAGAAAAAUCUCGAAGGGCUCAAAGAAAACAGGUAGCAGAUCUUGUGGUGUCUGAAGGGGGAAACACAAGUUUAUUAAUUCAAUCGGCUAGCAUGGCCGCACGAAAACAGGGUAAACACGAUCUUGCAUUUGUGCUAAAGUUGUUAUCCUUAUGCCCAGAAAAGGCCCUACACAUUCGCAAAGCUAUUUCAGCUCCGAUU